CCUCCUUUCUUGGCAUGCACGUAGUUUUCUCAGUACUCGUGUGUGUAUGUAUGGAGGAAUAGAAGUGCCAGUGCUAUGUCUUCGGUACCAGCAUGUUCCCAUCAGCUGGUUCUAUCCUCAAUCACUGGAACACGC
Small nucleolar RNA from Astyanax mexicanus (Mexican tetra), 135 nucleotides. NCBI's taxonomy places the organism in Eukaryota, Metazoa, Chordata, Actinopteri, Characiformes, Acestrorhamphidae. The record is from Ensembl.